Molecule: long non-coding RNA, 2315 nt
Organism: Mercenaria mercenaria
Lineage: Eukaryota; Metazoa; Mollusca; Bivalvia; Venerida; Veneridae
Exons: 3
Source: RefSeq, a predicted model, not a curated record
UAAACAUGACAGUUCGUGAGAAAGGAAAUAAAAGGGAUAAUGAAUGGCAUUGCGCGAUUUACAGAUCAACUUUUGAUCAACAACUGAGGAACAUCUGGCAUAUUGCUAUGUCCUUAAACAAAAAAGGAUUUCUCAAGGCAUGCCUACAUACCACAUGUUGGAAGAGUUUGUGGAAUGGCUGAAGGAUGAAAGAAUUUCCAGAAAAAUAAAAUUCUUUAUGAAUUUGUGAAUGGAAAUGAAACCCAAGGAACUAAUUUAUUUGCUUACCAUCCAGUUGAAAGUAUGCUAAUGGAAUAAAGUGCAACUGUCACAGAAGUGCACAAAAUAAGGUCAUGCUUUCUGCAAAAGUUCACCAAGCUAGAUAGAUAGAUAUUCUUUAUUUCCUCCAUGUAGAAGAGCAUACAAUAUUUACACACAAUGCAAAAGUAAUAUAUACACAAGUUAAACAUUUACAGCCAGUUAUAAACACAUAAUAACAGUAUUCUUUAUAUACAUAAUAUACAGUCGAAACUCGGUAUCUCAAACUCGCUUACCUCCAAAUUCCGUUUAAGUCGAAGAAAUUUCCAAGUCCCGUCAAAUUUCCUUCUUUAUAUAUGUAAUUCAACUCCGGAUACGUCAAAAUUUGACUUACUGAGACUCCGGAUGUGUCGAAAUGGAUUUUCAGUCCCGUCAGUAAAAUUCAAGUGUAUUGUAAACUCGGUAUGUCGAAGUGAGAAAAGUAUGCGAUAAAAUUUCACACAUGUCAUUGUGAAUGUGUUUGGUUUUUAACACAUGUACAUGUUUAUUGCCUGACCAGAAAGCCGUGAUGCCGACAUAUAAAAGGUGCGGCGAAUAUCAAUGUGAGAUGAGGUCAUACCUGUUUGCACGUGCCAUAAUGAUAAUUGUUUGAUAUAAACAUUAGAUUUCUUGAAUCAGUUGUCAUUUGUUUUUGAAAGUUAUGAAAAUUGCUUUAAAUUUAAACUAAUGAAUUAAUUAGUUUGAACAGUUUGGAUCUUUAAUAAGGAUUAAUUAGAGGUAAUCGCGAUGAAACUUUAUAAAAAAUAACUUCUUUUGAGAAAGCAUCAUUUGUUCAAAAUGUCAGAUCAAAAUGCUAUCAAUCCUCCGGGAGAGCAAUGUGGUACAAAAAGGAAACUUGACUCAAAAACAUUUCAGGUUAGUAUCAUUUUUAUUCUUCGAAAACCUGAGAACUUUGAUAAACACACACUGUAAGGAAUCGUGUACGCGUAAAGUAAGGACAGCGUAUACACGGCUACAACUUUGUUUCAUCAUUUCGUCUUUACAAGUCGCUCUUCAUAACUCGAAUUUCGGUUACCUCGAAAUAAAAAGCAUGGUCCCUUGAAAUUCGAGAUACCGAGUUUCGACUGUAUACAGUUUCAAAUGUGCAAUUAUAUAGGAAGUGAUAUAACAACAAUAAACAACAUGUAAACCUUCCAUUCGACUCUGCACAUAAAGUGUCAAUUUGCCUUUUCAGAUGUUUAUCACAUUAUAACUCUACGAAGCGGAAGUGACAAAUAAUAGGUUGACUUAGCAACAGUUUUAAAAAGGGAUACUCUUUUUUCAUCUUCAAUUUUAAGGGUUGGAAACCCCGACAAUAGCUCAAUAAGUUGCUCUUUGUAGUUUAAUGAACAGAAAGAGAAGUAUUUUUCUCUACCUAGUAAUGUAUGUAUUCUUUUCCACAUCUGAUGUCUGUAAGUGUCUUUAAAAGGGCAAAAUAACAUCACAUGGUGUACAACUGAUCGUGACAGACAUUGACAUUGUGGGCAUAUUCUGAUGCAAUCCUUAGCAAAUAUCUGACUUAAUACAAACACCACCGUCCGACAGUACGGUAAAUACUCGCGGUACAGUUGGCUAAACCGCCAGGCAUUACAUGGUGCAAUUUCAGACUGAAUGCUUAAGAAUUGAAAUAAUGUGACGUCGUUCGUUAGCCUGGUUAUGUAUUCGUAAUUUGCUUGGUUAAUAAUGGUUCUCUUAACAGUUCUUUUCCACUCGGUAUUUGAUGGAAACACUUCAUGAUAAAAAUAAUUUUGAAAGAAACAUACCAAGUUGUAUUUUCCGAAUAUUCUGUAGACAUCUGGUAUAAAUCCUAAUGUUUUACUUGGGUGCUCCAUAAAGCAUCUCAAACGCAUGUCAAACAUAUGUUUCACUCGCUUUUCUCCGUCUAGGUUGCACAACUGACCAAAAAAGAGCAGUUUUCUUUUGUCGAUUUCAUGUUCAAUAGAAAAGAUACCGAUGAAACUUAAGGAGAUAUCUGUUCUGGUAAGUCGCGGUAAAGACUGCAUAGACUUAACACACUGUCUGUGAACAAUUUCAAGGGA